CUGGCACCCCUAGUGACGCCGGCAUUUGCCCUUGCCCACUCCACAGUGUAUAAAUUGUGCUUGCAAAAUAUAUUACAAAAUGUUUAUAUUCUAAAACUAUUACAGAGUUAUGUAAAGGGACUUAGGAGGAAUCACUGAAUGUAUGGAGGCCCCAUUUUCAAUUUCUGCUGUGGGAGAGAGGAAAAAUAAGAUAUUUAGUAUCUAAGAUUAGAAAACUACACUCACAUGCUGAUAAUGGGUGUUGAAAAUUAGGUGACUUGGCUUUUACAAGAAUGCAGGGAAUCAGGUAACUUUAGUUAUUUAUACUAUAAUCACCAUUAUCUGUUUAAAGGAUCCAUUUAUUUAAAAUCAGGCACUCUAUAUUCAUUAAGGUUUAUGAAUUA
This 383-nucleotide long non-coding RNA is filed under the name Bos taurus (domestic cattle). Its description in RNAcentral is "long non-coding RNA NONBTAT020596". Lineage: Eukaryota; Metazoa; Chordata; Mammalia; Artiodactyla; Bovidae. The record is from RNAcentral.